GGGGGAUAACUACUGGAAACGGUAGCUAAUACCGCAUAACGUCGCAAGACCAAAGAGGGGGACCUUCGGGCCUCUUGCCAUCGGAUGUGCCCAGAUGGGAUUAGCUUGUUGGUGGGGUAACGGCUCACCAAGGCGACGAUCCCUAGCUGGUCUGAGAGGAUGACCAGCCACACUGGAACUGAGACACGGUCCAGACUCCUACGGGAGGCAGCAGUGGGGAAUAUUGCACAAUGGGCGCAAGCCUGAUGCAGCCAUGCCGCGUGUAUGAAGAAGGCCUUCGGGUUGUAAAGUACUUUCAGCGGGGAGGAAGGGAGUAAAGUUAAUACCUUUGCUCAUUGACGUUACCCGCAGAAGAAGCACCGGCUAACUCCGUGCCAGCAGCCGCGGUAAUACGGAGGGUGCAAGCGUUAAUCGGAAUUACUGGGCGUAAAGCGCACGCAGGCGGUUUGUUAAGUCAGAUGUGAAAUCCCCGGGCUCAACCUGGGAACUGCAUCUGAUACUGGCAAGCUUGAGUCUCGUAGAGGGGGGUAGAAUUCCAGGUGUAGCGGUGAAAUGCGUAGAGAUCUGGAGGAAUACCGGUGGCGAAGGCGGCCCCCUGGACGAAGACUGACGCUCAGGUGCGAAAGCGUGGGGAGCAAACAGGAUUAGAUACCCUGGUAGUCCACGCCGUAAACGAUGUCGACUUGGAGGUUGUGCCCUUGAGGCGUGGCUUCCGGAGCUAACGCGUUAAGUCGACCGCCUGGGGAGUACGGCCGCAAGGUUAAAACUCAAAUGAAUUGACGGGGGCCCGCACAAGCGGUGGAGCAUGUGGUUUAAUUCGAUGCAACGCGAAGAACCUUACCUGGUCUUGACAUCCACGGAAGUUUUCAGAGAUGAGAAUGUGCCUUCGGGAACCGUGAGACAGGUGCUGCAUGGCUGUCGUCAGCUCGUGUUGUGAAAUGUUGGGUUAAGUCCCGCAACGAGCGCAACCCUUAUCCUUUGUUGCCAGCGGUCCGGCCGGGAACUCAAAGGAGACUGCCAGUGAUAAACUGGAGGAAGGUGGGGAUGACGUCAAGUCAUCAUGGCCCUUACGACCAGGGCUACACACGUGCUACAAUGGCGCAUACAAAGAGAAGCGACCUCGCGAGAGCAAGCGGACCUCAUAAAGUGCGUCGUAGUCCGGAUUGGAGUCUGCAACUCGACUCCAUGAAGUCGGAAUCGCUAGUAAUCGUGGAUCAGAAUGCCACGGUGAAUACGUUCCCGGGCCUUGUACACACCGCCCGUCACACCAUGGGAGUGGGUUGCAAAAGAAGUAGGUAGCUUAACCUUCGGGAGGGCGCUUACCACUUUGUGAUUCAUGACUGGGGUGAAGUCGUAACAAGGUAACCGUAGGGGAACCUGCGGUUGGAUCACCUCCUU
RNAcentral lists this ribosomal RNA (1398 nucleotides) under Escherichia coli. RNAcentral's name for it is "bacterial SSU rRNA". It matches the Rfam family "Bacterial small subunit ribosomal RNA". Lineage: Bacteria; Pseudomonadati; Pseudomonadota; Gammaproteobacteria; Enterobacterales; Enterobacteriaceae. The record is from RNAcentral.